CGUGUACCAGUGGGGUCCCUCAGCCUGGUCUGCGCCCUCUUGCAAUCCAGCACCCCUCAGGGGAUGUCAGAAAGAGGUUUUGGCCUAAUCCCACAGGCCAGGCUGAGGGACCCCACUGGUGCAUG
This 125-nucleotide microRNA precursor is filed under the name Myotis davidii. Its description in RNAcentral is "mir-9193 microRNA precursor family". It matches the Rfam family "mir-9193 microRNA precursor family". Lineage: Eukaryota; Metazoa; Chordata; Mammalia; Chiroptera; Vespertilionidae. The record is from Rfam by way of RNAcentral.